AACGAACGCUGGCGGCAUGCCUAACACAUGCAAGUCGAACGAGACCUUCGGGUCUAGUGGCGCACGGGUGCGUAACGCGUGGGAACCUGCCCUUAGGUUCGGAAUAACUCCCCGAAAGGGGUGCUAAUACCGGAUAAUGUCUUCGGACCAAAGAUUUAUCGCCUUUGGAUGGGCCCGCGUUGGAUUAGCUGGUUGGUAGGGUAAAAGCCUACCAAGGCGACGAUCCAUAGCUGGUCUGAGAGGAUGAUCAGCCACACUGGGACUGAGACACGGCCCAGACUCCUACGGGAGGCAGCAGUGGGGAAUAUUGGACAAUGGGCGAAAGCCUGAUCCAGCCAUGCCGCGUGAGUGAUGAAGGCCUUAGGGUUGUAAAGCUCUUUUACCCGGGAUGAUAAUGACAGUACCGGGAGAAUAAGCACCGGCUAACUACGUG
Molecule: ribosomal RNA, 433 nt
Filed under: uncultured bacterium
Lineage: Bacteria
Description: partial 16S ribosomal RNA
Rfam family: Bacterial small subunit ribosomal RNA
Source: RNAcentral